AACGAACGCUGGCGGCGUGCCUAACACAUGCAAGUCGAACGAGAAAGCGGGCUUCGGCCCGUGAGUAAAGUGGCAGACGGGUGAGUAACACGUGGGUAACCUGCCCGGAGGUGGGGGAUAACCCUUCGAAAGGAGGACUAAUACCGCAUAACAUCUCGAGAGCUUCGGAACUCGAGAUCAAAGCUAGCCUCUACGCGUAAGCUAGCGCCACCGGAGGGGCCCGCGCCCCAUUAGCUUGUUGGUGAGGUAACGGCUCACCAAGGCGACGAUGGGUAGCCGGCCUGAGAGGGUGAUCGGCCACACUGGAACUGAGACACGGUCCAGACUCCUACGGGAGGCAGCAGUGAGGAAUUUUGCGCAAUGGGCGAAAGCCUGACGCAGCGACGCCGCGUGGAGGACGAAGGCCUUCGGGUCGUAAACUCCUGUCGAGCGGGACGAAUCCCGGGGGGAUGAAUAAGCCUUCCGGUUGACAGUACCGCUGGAGGAAGCCCCGGCUAACUCCGUG
RNAcentral lists this ribosomal RNA (505 nucleotides) under uncultured bacterium. RNAcentral's name for it is "bacterial SSU rRNA". It matches the Rfam family "Bacterial small subunit ribosomal RNA", at positions 29 to 507 of the family's 1533-position model. The record is from RNAcentral.